Molecule: unclassified non-coding RNA, 387 nt
Filed under: soil metagenome
Description: partial contains 5.8S ribosomal RNA, internal transcribed spacer 2, and large subunit ribosomal RNA
Rfam family: 5.8S ribosomal RNA (bases 1-120)
Source: RNAcentral
GAUGAAGAACGUAGCGAAAUGCGAUAAGUAGUGUGAAUUGUAGAAUUCAGUGAAUCAUCGAAUCUUUGAACGCACAUUGCGCCUCCUGGCAUUCCGGGAGGCAUGCCUGUUCGAGCGUCAUCAAACACCAUCGUGCGAAUGAAUUUUCGCGCGGAAGUGACGAUUGAGCGAUAAAUCUUUUUUGUUCGCACCUCGUCGAAAUGAUUGCGGGCGGAAUUUGGGAUCGGGUUCCUCGGCGUAGUGUACCAAUGCAUAUCUAUGUAACUUGCCGCGGAGUUGAGCCUGACCCACGCGUUCUCGCCGUACAAAACUCAUUACUUUACAAGUUUUUGACCUCGGAUCAGGUAGGGAUACCCGCUGAACUUAAGCAUAUCAAUAAGCGGAGGA